CAGUAGCCGCGGGAAUACGUAUGUCACAAGCGUUGUCCGGAUUUAUUGGGCGUAAAGCGAGCGCAGGCGGUUAGAUAAGUCUGAAGUUAAAGGCUGUGGCUUAACCAUAGUACGCUCUGGAAACUGUUUAACUUGAGUGCAAGAGGGGAGAGUGGAAUUCCAUGUGUAGCGGUGAAAUGCGUAGAUAUAUGGAGGAACACCGGUGGCGAAAGCGGCUCUCUGGCUUGUAACUGACGCUGAGGCUCGAAAGCGUGGGGAGCAAACAGGAUUAGAUACCCCCGUAGUCCCUGUCUCUUAUACC
Molecule: ribosomal RNA, 301 nt
Filed under: uncultured bacterium
Lineage: Bacteria
Description: partial 16S ribosomal RNA
Rfam family: Bacterial small subunit ribosomal RNA
Source: RNAcentral